Molecule: long non-coding RNA, 586 nt
Filed under: Ananas comosus (pineapple)
Lineage: Eukaryota; Viridiplantae; Streptophyta; Magnoliopsida; Poales; Bromeliaceae
Description: long non-coding RNA (ACOM_LNC000502)
Source: RNAcentral
AGGUCUAAUCAUUCAGCAGAAGUGCUUUCCGAGCAAGUUAUUCAAGGAUGCAUUAACAGCCUUUUAAUAUAAGAUCCCCUUAAAAGAGGAACACAAGCUUCACACUGCAGAUGCUGCUUGGGUGCUUCUUUCCAGAGUGGAGAAGCUACUCCGCUCAAGCAAGGCCAAACAGGGUUCUGUAGGUUCAAAUAGUUUUCGACUUGUCACAGGGUUACUGUGGUAUAUGUGUGUGGAUGUUUGUACUGUUGUGGUUGUAUUUUGUACUUGUACGACGCCGUGCAAAUACAGGGGAGAUUCUGUCCGUGUGAACAGUGAAUUCCCUGUAUUUGUGAUGGAUCUGACAUACUCUGUAUUUGUGGUGCAUCUGACAUACUCUGAGAAUCAGGUUUUUUAAAAAAAAAAAAAAUUGGACGCUUCCGCAUUACUUUUAAAUCAAAAAGAGACCCCGGGGCGUGACAAAGUAAAGUACAGAUUUGAAGUGUAAAUGAGAUACAUUCAUAAUUACAAGUGCGCAUACAGGAAUACAUGCAUGGCUAACUCCAAGUGCACAAACAACUGCAUACACGAUGACUGCUGAGAGUUAUAG